Molecule: ribosomal RNA, 1554 nt
Filed under: Salmonella enterica subsp. enterica serovar Montevideo str. CDC 2012K-1544
Lineage: Bacteria; Pseudomonadati; Pseudomonadota; Gammaproteobacteria; Enterobacterales; Enterobacteriaceae
Also listed under: 1 other name
Description: bacterial SSU rRNA
Rfam family: Bacterial small subunit ribosomal RNA
Source: RNAcentral
UUAAAUUGAAGAGUUUGAUCAUGGCUCAGAUUGAACGCUGGCGGCAGGCCUAACACAUGCAAGUCGAACGGUAACAGGAAGCAGCUUGCUGCUUUGCUGACGAGUGGCGGACGGGUGAGUAAUGUCUGGGAAACUGCCUGAUGGAGGGGGAUAACUACUGGAAACGGUGGCUAAUACCGCAUAACGUCGCAAGACCAAAGAGGGGGACCUUCGGGCCUCUUGCCAUCAGAUGUGCCCAGAUGGGAUUAGCUUGUUGGUGAGGUAACGGCUCACCAAGGCGACGAUCCCUAGCUGGUCUGAGAGGAUGACCAGCCACACUGGAACUGAGACACGGUCCAGACUCCUACGGGAGGCAGCAGUGGGGAAUAUUGCACAAUGGGCGCAAGCCUGAUGCAGCCAUGCCGCGUGUAUGAAGAAGGCCUUCGGGUUGUAAAGUACUUUCAGCGGGGAGGAAGGUGUUGUGGUUAAUAACCACAGCAAUUGACGUUACCCGCAGAAGAAGCACCGGCUAACUCCGUGCCAGCAGCCGCGGUAAUACGGAGGGUGCAAGCGUUAAUCGGAAUUACUGGGCGUAAAGCGCACGCAGGCGGUCUGUCAAGUCGGAUGUGAAAUCCCCGGGCUCAACCUGGGAACUGCAUUCGAAACUGGCAGGCUUGAGUCUUGUAGAGGGGGGUAGAAUUCCAGGUGUAGCGGUGAAAUGCGUAGAGAUCUGGAGGAAUACCGGUGGCGAAGGCGGCCCCCUGGACAAAGACUGACGCUCAGGUGCGAAAGCGUGGGGAGCAAACAGGAUUAGAUACCCUGGUAGUCCACGCCGUAAACGAUGUCUACUUGGAGGUUGUGCCCUUGAGGCGUGGCUUCCGGAGCUAACGCGUUAAGUAGACCGCCUGGGGAGUACGGCCGCAAGGUUAAAACUCAAAUGAAUUGACGGGGGCCCGCACAAGCGGUGGAGCAUGUGGUUUAAUUCGAUGCAACGCGAAGAACCUUACCUGGUCUUGACAUCCACGGAAGAAUUCAGAGAUGGAUUUGUGCCUUCGGGAACCGUGAGACAGGUGCUGCAUGGCUGUCGUCAGCUCGUGUUGUGAAAUGUUGGGUUAAGUCCCGCAACGAGCGCAACCCUUAUCCUUUGUUGCCAGCGGUCCGGCCGGGAACUCAAAGGAGACUGCCAGUGAUAAACUGGAGGAAGGUGGGGAUGACGUCAAGUCAUCAUGGCCCUUACGACCAGGGCUACACACGUGCUACAAUGGCGCAUACAAAGAGAAGCGACCUCGCGAGAGCAAGCGGACCUCAUAAAGUGCGUCGUAGUCCGGAUUGGAGUCUGCAACUCGACUCCAUGAAGUCGGAAUCGCUAGUAAUCGUGGAUCAGAAUGCCACGGUGAAUACGUUCCCGGGCCUUGUACACACCGCCCGUCACACCAUGGGAGUGGGUUGCAAAAGAAGUAGGUAGCUUAACCUUCGGGAGGGCGCUUACCACUUUGUGAUUCAUGACUGGGGUGAAGUCGUAACAAGGUAACCGUAGGGGAACCUGCGGUUGGAUCACCUCCUUACCUUAAAGAA